AAUGGGGGAAACCCUGAUCCAGCAAUGCCGCGUGAGUGAUGAAGGCCUUCGGGUUGUAAAGCUCUUUUGUCAGGGACGAUGAUGACGGUACCUGACGAAUAAGCUCCGGCUAACUUCGUGCCAGCAGCCGCGGUAAUACGAGGGGAGCUAGCGUUGUUCGGAAUUACUGGGCGUAAAGGGCGUGUAGGCGGUACCAUAAGUCAGAUGUGAAAGCCCUAGGCUUAACCUAGGAGGUGCAUUUGAUACUGUGGAACUAGAGAUCGAGAGAGGAAAGUGGAAUUACGAGUGUAGAGGUGAAAUUCGUAGAUAUUCGUAAGAACACCAGUGGCGAAGGCGACUUUCUGGCUCGAUACUGACGCUAAGGCGCGAAAGCGUGGGGAGCAAA
This 385-nucleotide ribosomal RNA is filed under the name uncultured bacterium. RNAcentral describes it as "bacterial SSU rRNA". It matches the Rfam family "Bacterial small subunit ribosomal RNA", at positions 370 to 772 of the family's 1533-position model. The record is from RNAcentral.